UUCAUUAUCGGCCACGAAAACUGGAAAGUAACUGCGCAUACAACGCAAAGUCGUUCGACAUUGAUAACACGCGAGCUGGAAUGCGCAAUGUGUUGGUCGGACGAAUCUCGCGGUGAUUCGCGCGGGAUGAAUUAACCUUAACCUUCAUGCCGUCCCGCAACAACAAAAACGCGCGCGUCUUCGAGCGAUCUCGCUGUCUCGUUCGAACGCGUUUAUCUCACUGCAGGUUACUCACGAAAACUCGGCAAAUACGUGUAAAGAAAACUCGGUUCACGACAUCGAUGACGCUACGCGAAGGAGUACGCGUACGAACGGCACGAAGCUUGCGACGAGAGAGACUCGUUGGUGCCAAACUUCACGCUUCACGUCCAGAAAAAAACGGGCGGUAAACCGUGCGGUGCGAAGAUGGCGGACACCCUCCCUCGCGUCCAUCGCCCGGCGAAGAGUCAACACAAAUGUCCCAGGACGAUCGUCACCGUACAGAACACUCAUUUCACUGCACAUCAUUGCGCAUAAACACUCGAAUUCGGUACGUACCGAGACACACGCGGCGAGAUCGGAACUUGCACGGCCGUCAAAAUGCGUAGCUGCUCCGGUCCUUCGACUGCUGUUCCGCCAUGCUACUGCACCCAGUGAGAAAUAAUAAUGGAAUCGAUAUCGAAUCGACAUCAAAAUGAUGAUUUUGACGUAGAAUCGAUGUCGAAAUCGUCACUUUGAUAUCGAUUCGAUAUCGAUUCCAUUGUCAUUUCUCACUGGGUACAGGCUCAUCGUCCAUCGGUCACGCAUAUCACGGCGGCUCCUCGGUUGUUGUCAAAAUCAAAAAUCGAGCUUCCUGCGGAUCUACCUACCGCGGAGAAACGCGACACGAAAUCGAUCCGCGAUCCGCCGCAUCUUUCACCCGCCGCUGCCGCCGUCCGCGACCCCGCGACGCUUCGCUACUAGAGCAGCAGCGCCGCGCCCCGCCCCGCCGUCGAAUUGACACCGCCAUUGAUCACGGACCAACGAUUGAUAACGUACGUGUGCACUUUCCAGAAAGAAAUCUUUUCUCGGAGAAAAAUCGCGCACUAGCUCGCGUGCUAUCACCGAUGCCGACUUUACUUUAUACAUACGCGCAGUUACUUCCGAGUUUUCGUGGGCGACAAUGAAAUGAACGUUCCGACGAAAUGAUCUACGCAUUCUGGAUCAUAACCUCGCGCGGUCGUGUGUCCUUUCGCUACGUGGUGAUGCCGCUUCGCUGGGGCGCCGUCAACAAAGUGUCGCACGUUGCUGAUAAUAAUUAACGCGCGAUCGUAAUUAAUCUCAUUCGCGAGUGUUAUUUGUGUAUUGACUGGACCUGUUGGCAGAGGCCCGGGGAGCAUCGGGCAACGGCGAAACAGCCCUGUGGUCAACAUGGCGUUGCAACUCCGCUGCUGAGUGUCGAGAGUUUUUAGUUAUUCCCGAGUACCAAACCCUGGGCAUGGAAUAUAAGAAUCCAAAGCCUUGCAAUUUACCGGAAAUUUAAGGAAGGGCUCCAACAAAUAUCAUCCAUCCU
Solenopsis invicta (red fire ant) is the source of this 1531-nucleotide long non-coding RNA. RefSeq lists it as uncharacterized. NCBI's taxonomy places the organism in Eukaryota, Metazoa, Arthropoda, Insecta, Hymenoptera, Formicidae. The record is from RefSeq and is a predicted model, not a curated record. The transcript has 3 exons.